RNAcentral lists this transfer RNA (64 nucleotides) under Allodontermes schultzei. RNAcentral's name for it is "tRNA-Asp". The record is from RNAcentral. Lineage: Eukaryota; Metazoa; Arthropoda; Insecta; Blattodea; Termitidae.
GAGGGGUUAGUUAAAAAAAUAACAUCAGAAUGUCAAACUGAAGUAAUCAAGUAGAUACCCCUCU